GUUAACGAGGCGAACCGGGGGAACUGAAACAUCUAAGUACCCCGAGGAAAAGAAAUCAACCGAGAUUCCCCCAGUAGCGGCGAGCGAACGGGGAGCAGCCCAGAGUCUGAAUCAGCUUGUGUGUUAGUGGAACGGUCUGGAAAGUCCGACGGUACAGGGUGAUAGUCCCGUACACCAAAAUGCACAGGUUGUGAACUCGAAGAGUAGGGCGGGACACGUGGUAUCCUGUCUGAAUAUGGGGGGACCAUCCUCCAAGGCUAAAUACUCCUGACUGACCGAUAGUGAACCAGUACCGUGAGGGAAAGGCGAAAAGAACCCCGGCGAGGGGAGUGAAAAAGAACCUGAAACCGUGUACGUACAAGCAGUGGGAGCACCUUCGGGUGCGACUGCGUACCUUUUGUAUAAUGGGUCAGCGACUUAUAUUCUGUAGCAAGGUUAACCGUAUAGGGGAGCCGCAGGGAAACCGAGUCUUAACUGGGCGUUAAGUUGCAGGGUAUAGACCCGAAACCCGGUGAUCUAGCCAUGGGCAGGUUGAAGGUUGGGUAACACUAACUGGAGGACCGAACCGACUAAUGUUGAAAAAUUAGCGGAUGACUUGUGGCUGGGGGUGAAAGGCCAAUCAAACCGGGAGAUAGCUGGUUCUCCCCGAAAGCUAUUUAGGUAGCGCCUCGUGAACUCAUCUUCGGGGGUAGAGCACUGUUUCGGCUAGGGGGUCAUCCCGACUUACCAACCCGAUGCAAACUACGAAUACCGAAGAAUGUUAUCACGGGAGACACACGGCGGGUGCUAACGUCCGUCGUGAAGAGGGAAACAACCCAGACCGCCAGCUAAGGUCCCAAAGUCAUGGUUAAGUGGGAAACGAUGUGGGAAGGCACAGACAGCCAGGAUGUUGGCUUAGAAGCAGCCAUCAUUUAAAGAAAGCGUAAUAGCUCACUGGUCGAGUCGGCCUGCGCGGAAGAUGUAACGGGGCUAAACCAUGCACCGAAGCUGCGGCAGCGACACUAUGUGUUGUUGGGUAGGGGAGCGUUCUGUAAGCCUGCGAAGGUGUGCUGUGAGGCAUGCUGGAGGUAUCAGAAGUGCGAAUGCUGACAUAAGUAACGAUAAAGCGGGUGAAAAGCCCGCUCGCCGGAAGACCAAGGGUUCCUGUCCAACGUUAAUCGGGGCAGGGUGAGUCGACCCCUAAGGCGAGGCCGAAAGGCGUAGUCGAUGGGAAACAGGUUAAUAUUCCUGUACUUGGUGUUACUGCGAAGGGGGGACGGAGAAGGCUAUGUUAGCCGGGCGACGGUUGUCCCGGUUUAAGCAUGUAGGCUGGUUGUCCAGGCAAAUCCGGAUAAUCAAGGCUGAGGUGUGAUGACGAGGCACUACGGUGCUGAAGUAACAAAUGCCCUGCUUCCAGGAAAAGCCUCUAAGCAUCAGGUAACAUUAAAUCGUACCCCAAACCGACACAGGUGGUCAGGUAGAGAAUACCAAGGCGCUUGAGAGAACUCGGGUGAAGGAACUAGGCAAAAUGGUGCCGUAACUUCGGGAGAAGGCACGCUGGUGUGUAGGUGAAGUCCCUGCGGAUGGAGCUGAGACCAGUCGAAGAUACCAGCUGGCUGCAACUGUUUAUUAAAAACACAGCACUGUGCAAACACGAAAGUGGACGUAUACGGUGUGACGCCUGCCCGGUGCCGGAAGGUUAAUUGAUGGGGUUAUCCGUAAGGAGAAGCUCUUGAUCGAAGCCCCGGUAAACGGCGGCCGUAACUAUAACGGUCCUAAGGUAGCGAAAUUCCUUGUCGGGUAAGUUCCGACCUGCACGAAUGGCGUAAUGAUGGCCAGGCUGUCUCCACCCGAGACUCAGUGAAAUUGAACUCGCUGUGAAGAUGCAGUGUACCCGCGGCAAGACGGAAAGACCCCGUGAACCUUUACUAUAGCUUGACACUGAACAUUGAGCCUUGAUGUGUAGGAUAGGAGGGAGGCUUUGAAGCGUGGACGCCAGUCUGCGUGGAGCCAACCUUGAAAUACCACCCUUUAAUGUUUGAUGUUCUAACGUUGGCCCCUGACCGGGGUUGCGGACAGUGUCUGGUGGGUAGUUUGACUGGGGCGGUCUCCUCCCAAAGCGUAACGGAGGAGCACGAAGGUUAGCUAAUCCUGGUCGGACAUCAGGAGGUUAGUGCAAUGGCAUAAGCUAGCUUGACUGCGAGCGUGACGGCGCGAGCAGGUGCGAAAGCAGGUCAUAGUGAUCCGGUGGUUCUGAAUGGAAGGGCCAUCGCUCAACGGAUAAAAGGUACUCCGGGGAUAACAGGCUGAUACCGCCCAAGAGUUCAUAUCGACGGCGGUGUUUGGCACCUCGAUGUCGGCUCAUCACAUCCUGGGGCUGAAGUAGGUCCCAAGGGUAUGGCUGUUCGCCAUUUAAAGUGGUACGCGAGCUGGGUUUAGAACGUCGUGAGACAGUUCGGUCCCUAUCUGCCGUGGGCGCUGGAGAAUUGAGGGGGGCUGCUCCUAGUACGAGAGGACCGGAGUGGACGCAUCACUGGUGUUCGGGUUGUCAUGCCAAUGGCACUGCCCGGUAGCUAAAUGCGGAAGAGAUAAGUGCUGAAAGCAUCUAAGCACGAAACUUGCCCCGAGAUGAGUUCU
Molecule: ribosomal RNA, 2616 nt
Filed under: Klebsiella pneumoniae
Lineage: Bacteria; Pseudomonadati; Pseudomonadota; Gammaproteobacteria; Enterobacterales; Enterobacteriaceae
Description: bacterial LSU rRNA
Rfam family: Bacterial large subunit ribosomal RNA
Source: RNAcentral